Molecule: ribosomal RNA, 440 nt
Filed under: uncultured bacterium
Lineage: Bacteria
Description: partial 16S ribosomal RNA
Rfam family: Bacterial small subunit ribosomal RNA
Source: RNAcentral
CCUACGGGAGGCAGCAGUGGGGAAUAUUGCACAAUGGGGGAAACCCUGAUGCAGCGACGCCGCGUGGGUGAAGAAGUAAUUCGGUAUGUAAAGCUCUAUCAGCAGGGAAGAAGGUGACGGUACCUGAGUAAGAAGCCCCGGCUAACUACGUGCCAGCAGCCGCGGUAAUACGUAGGGGGCAAGCGUUAUCCGGAUUUACUGGGUGUAAAGGGAGCGUAGACGGCAGUGCAAGUCUGGAGUGAAAGGCGGGGGCCCAACCCCCGGACUGCUCUGGAAACUGUCGGGCUGGAGUGCAGGAGGGGUAAGUGGAAUUCCUAGUGUAGCGGUGAAAUGCGUAGAUAUUAGGAGGAACACCAGUGGCGAAGGCGGCUUACUGGACUGUAACUGACGUUGAGGCUCGAAAGCGUGGGGAGCAAACAGGAUUAGAUACCCGGGUAGUC